GGUUGGUGCAAAAGUAACUGUGGUUUUUGCCAUUGAAAGUAAUGGCAAAAACCACAGUUACUUUUUCAUGAACCUA
RNAcentral lists this microRNA precursor (76 nucleotides) under Macaca nemestrina (pig-tailed macaque). RNAcentral describes it as "miRNA (ENSMNEG00000003079.1)". The record is from RNAcentral. Lineage: Eukaryota; Metazoa; Chordata; Mammalia; Primates; Cercopithecidae.